GACGAACGCUGGCGGCGUGCUUAACACAUGCAAGUCGAACGGAAAGGCCCUGCUUUUGUGGGGUGCUCGAGUGGCGAACGGGUGAGUAACACGUGAGUAACCUGCCCUUGACUUUGGGAUAACUUCAGGAAACUGGGGCUAAUACCGUAUAGGAGCUCCUGCUGCAUGGUGGGGGUUGGAAAGUUUCGGCGGUUGGGGAUGGACUCGCGGCUUAUCAGCUUGUUGGUGGGGUAGUGGCUUACCAAGGCUUUGACGGGUAGCCGGCCUGAGAGGGUGACCGGCCACAUGGGGACUGAGAUACGGCGCAGACUCCUACGGGAGGCAGCAGUGGGGAAUAUUGCACAAUGGGCGGAAGCCUGAUGCAGAAACGCCGCGUGCGGGAUGACGGCCUUCGGGUUGUAAACCGCUUUAGCCUGUGACGAAGCGUGAGUGACGGUAAUGGGUAAAGAAGCACCGGCUAACUACGUG
RNAcentral lists this ribosomal RNA (468 nucleotides) under uncultured bacterium. RNAcentral describes it as "partial 16S ribosomal RNA". It matches the Rfam family "Bacterial small subunit ribosomal RNA", at positions 28 to 507 of the family's 1533-position model. The record is from RNAcentral.